AACUUGCGGCAAUGGAUCUCUUGGUUCUGGCAUCGAUUAAGAACGCAGCGAAAUGCGAUAAGUAAUGCGAAUUGCAGAAUUCCAGUGAGUCAUCGAAUCUUUGAACGCACAUUGCGCCCUUUGGUAUUCCGAAGGGCAUGCCUGUUCGAGCGUCAUUAUCACCCCUCAAGCCCCGUGCUUGGUGUUGGAUGGCCGGUCGAGGUUCGCCCCGACCCCUCCUAAAGACAAUGACGGCGACCUGUGGUUCCCCCGGUACACUGAGCUUUUCGCAGAGCACGUACCGGACGAGGGCGCCCGGGUCACGGUCCCCUCCUCCUCGUGAGGAAAUAUUUUUCAAGGUUGACCUCGGAUCAGGUAGGAAUACGCGCUGAACUUAAGCAUAUCAAUAAGCGGAGGGCU
This 399-nucleotide unclassified non-coding RNA is filed under the name uncultured Chaetothyriales. RNAcentral's name for it is "sequence contains ITS2". The stretch from base 1 to 155 matches the Rfam family "5.8S ribosomal RNA". The record is from RNAcentral. Lineage: Eukaryota; Fungi; Ascomycota; Eurotiomycetes; Chaetothyriales.